Molecule: ribosomal RNA, 497 nt
Filed under: uncultured bacterium
Lineage: Bacteria
Description: partial 16S ribosomal RNA
Rfam family: Bacterial small subunit ribosomal RNA
Source: RNAcentral
GAUGAACGCUGGCGGCGUGCCUAAUACAUGCAAGUCGAGCGAACGGACGAGAAGCUUGCUUCUCUGAUGUUAGCGGCGGACGGGUGAGUAACACGUGGAUAACCUACCUAUAAGACUGGGAUAACUUCGGGAAACCGGAGCUAAUACCGGAUGAUAUUUUGAACCGCAUGGUUCAAAAGUGAAAGACGGUCUUGCUGUCACUUAUAGAUGGAUCCGCGCUGCAUUAGCUAGUUGGUAAGGUAACGGCUUACCAAGGCAACGAUGCAUAGCCGACCUGAGAGGGUGAUCGGCCACACUGGAACUGAGACACGGUCCAGACUCCUACGGGAGGCAGCAGUAGGGAAUCUUCCGCAAAGGGCGAAAGCCUGACGGAGCAACGCCGCGUGAGUGAUGAAGGUCUUCGGAUCGUAAAACUCUGUUAUUAGGGAAGAACAUAUGUGUAAGUAACUGUGCACAUCUUGACGGUAACUAAUCAGAAAGCAACGGCUAACUACGUG